Molecule: long non-coding RNA, 1554 nt
Organism: Oncorhynchus kisutch (coho salmon)
Lineage: Eukaryota; Metazoa; Chordata; Actinopteri; Salmoniformes; Salmonidae
Source: Ensembl
UUUUCUCUUCUCUCUCCUGUUCUUUCUACUUUUCUGUAAAGUGUUUUGUGACAUGUUGUGUGUGUGAAGCAACACUUUAAAUAAAUGUUGAUUUGACUAGAGGCCAUCUGCCAGGUCCUGACUGCCUGGAUGGAACAGAUGCUGAACCGGACCUGCAACGACAUUUACAGUGCCAGUGUCAUCAUCCAGAAAGGAUUGGAUUCUGGUGCCAGGGACAGUUUCCCUGACACUCCGUGUCCUUCUUCAUCAGAGGAAGAAGAUGAGGUGGUCGCGAGUGUCAUGACUUUCUUACACUCGGAGCCCUCCACCUCAACCAAGGCAGCACAGGCAGCUCCUGCAAAGACCCUGGCGGUCAACCCCUGUCUGGAUGAAGAUGAGGUAGUCCCCAGCACCUCCAUGAUUGAGGGCUCCCUAACGACCACUCAGGCAGCAUGGGCAGCUUCUGCACAGAUCUUGGAAGAAGAGGUUGGGGGAGCUGAUGUCUCUGAGCUGAGUAUCGGCUCCCUGACCCCCACCGAGGCCAGGCAGGACCUCCUGGAGAAGAUUCCCUCUCUCCUGCCGGGUGAGAUCCUCAUCGAAGAAGACAUCCCCCUUCUCAGCACUCCCAGGGACACCGUUAUGAGCCCCCAGACCCUGAAGCUCAUCCUCCAGGGCAUCAUGCGCCGACUGGAGGCCUCAGAGUCCCCCCGGGCUAGGAGGGCCAACGACCCCUUCAGGCUGAUGAAGGAUCUCUUUCUGGAGGUCCAGCAUGCCCUUAAGUAUGCUGACAUCUCUGUCCUCUUCAGCCUGGAGGAGAGCAUUCAAUUCAGGGGGGAAGAUGCAAUGAAGGCCAUCGUUAAGGCUGCGGCUAAAAGGUUGUCCCUGCGCUCGGACUCCAACCGGGCUCAACUGCGCGCCGUACGCUAUGGUGGCGAGGGAGCCAUCUAUUGCAUGGCAGACACCAUCGCAAAUGUCAUAGACGACCACGCCCAGGACUGGAGUUCUGACGGCCAUUUUGGAGCAAGUAGGAGCCGUGGUAGGGGGAGGUCACGCUCCUCCUCAAGCUCCUGAAAGAGUGACAUCACCCUCACAGAGGAACUCUUGGCCCAGGGGGAAAGCCUGGAAGAGGACCAAGAGGAUGUGGCUGCGAUCGACGACAACAAGAAAUGUGACUCUGCUAGCUUGGAGAAGGCCAGCAGCAGCUCCCUCUCCAUAGACCUUGUGGACAGCACCUCCACACAGGUAAGCAGACUACCAUUAACCAGUAGGUUGUUCAGUUAUUGUAGCUUUUUGAUUGAGGCACCAACUCAUCUGUUUCUCUCUCUACUAAGAAGACAGGGAAGGACGAGGCAGUGAAGGAAGGAGUGGGAAAGUCAGGAGAUUGGAAGCGUGGUUGCAAGAAGACCCUGAAGAAGAACAAGAUGGCUCCCUUUGGCACUGAUGGUAAGUCCUCCUUUCUGUUAGUCAACAUGUCUAUAUGUCUUCAACAAAAUUAUAUUAUUUCACCACAUUGUAAUGUUAGGGGAAGAGACUGAUGAAAUUAUCAGGGUCUUAUUCAUUAAACGGCAGUAACAG